Molecule: ribosomal RNA, 273 nt
Filed under: uncultured Staphylococcus sp.
Lineage: Bacteria; Bacillati; Bacillota; Bacilli; Caryophanales; Staphylococcaceae
Description: partial 16S ribosomal RNA
Rfam family: Bacterial small subunit ribosomal RNA
Source: RNAcentral
UACGUUAGCGGCGACGGGUGAGUAACACGUGGGUAACCUACCUAUAAGACUGGGAUAACUUCGGGAAACCGGAGCUAAUACCGGAUAAUAUUUCGAACCGCAUGGUUCGAUAGUGAAAGAUGGUUUUGCCAUCACUUAUAGAUGGACCCGCGCCGUAUUAGCUAGUUGGUAAGGUAACGGCUUACCAAGGCGACGAUACGUAGCCGACCUGAGAGGGUGAUCGGCCACACUGGAACUGAGACACGGUCCAGACUCCUACGGGAGGCAGCAGCC